Halichondria panicea is the source of this 721-nucleotide long non-coding RNA. RefSeq lists it as uncharacterized. The record is from RefSeq and is a predicted model, not a curated record. The transcript has 3 exons. Lineage: Eukaryota; Metazoa; Porifera; Demospongiae; Suberitida; Halichondriidae.
UAGCCAUAGAUAGUAGAGGAAGGGGAUUGUGAACGAGAUCACGUGCGCUAUAGAUCAUACAUGAGAGCUGAGGUCUAUCCGCGUUAGACCGCGAAUUGACUAAUUUUGAGCGGGCUAAAGACUUUUCAGAGUUUUACUCGGUUCUAAAGGUGUGAUUGUAAACAAUGGGCAUGGGAAGUCAGAAAUUGCGUUUUUUUCAGCAAAAGAAAAGCAAGAAGCAGCAGACAUCCCCCGUCUGAGUCGACCAGCAACUCUUGAAUCUCUCCACUUCUUGGUUGCCAAGUCAGUGUUGAACUAAUUGCCGUCGAGAACGUGCUCACCAUUGUCAAGCUGCUAAGAGCUGAUGUCAUCGUCACCUCGUGUGUUCAGUGCCAGCUCAUUUGGAAUUUGUCAGUACGUUCUGAAUAUACCCUUACACCCCCUCUCUCAACUCAUCAACCUAAGUUACCUUCACCAGCGUGCUGUGCUAUUUUGAUUGAGAUCCAUCGAUUCCAUGAACUUUUGUGAUGAAAAUCCUGGCCUUAAAUGUUUAGUGAAAGCAUCACUCUUCUACACUUAUUAUAGUUGAUCAGGUAAGUUCUGUCAAAAAAUUGUUCACGAACCGUUACCCAAACGCAGAAGGUCUGACAACACAUUCUGACUCAUAUCGUUCAUAAUGUACGUGUAUCUUUACAUUGUCAUAGCUUGUCUGCAGUUCAUAAUAAUGUUAUAUAGAUGAUGA